CAGUCGCCACGGGAAUACAGAGGGUGCAAGCGUUAAUCGGAAUUACUGGGCGUAAAGCGCGCGUAGGUGGUUUGUUAAGUUGGAUGUGAAAUCCCCGGGCUCAACCUGGGAACUGCAUCCAAAACUGGCAAGCUAGAGUAUGGUAGAGGGUGGUGGAAUUUCCUGUGUAGCGGUGAAAUGCGUAGAUAUAGGAAGGAACACCAGUGGCGAAGGCGACCACCUGGACUGAUACUGACACUGAGAAGCGAAAGCAUGGGGAGCGAACAGGAUUAGAGACCCCGGUAGUCCCUGUCUCUUAUAC
Molecule: ribosomal RNA, 301 nt
Filed under: uncultured bacterium
Lineage: Bacteria
Description: partial 16S ribosomal RNA
Rfam family: Bacterial small subunit ribosomal RNA
Source: RNAcentral